This is a non-coding RNA of Beta vulgaris subsp. vulgaris (sugar beet), 158 nucleotides long. The record is from Rfam. NCBI's taxonomy places the organism in Eukaryota, Viridiplantae, Streptophyta, Magnoliopsida, Caryophyllales, Amaranthaceae.
GAUAAUUGGCUUGCGAUAACGAAAUGUCCUUAGAGACGAUGCAUUUUGAUCCCUCGGUGUCGACUCUUGUUAUCAUUAUGAAGCAGAUUCACCACGUGUUUGAUUGUUCACCCACCAACAUGAACGUGAGUUGAGUUCAAGUUGUCUCGAGACAAUUU